GACGAACGCUGGCGGCGUGCUUAACACAUGCAAGUCGAACGAAGUGGCGAACGGGUGAGUAACGCGUAAUCAACCUGCCCUUCAGAGGGGGACAACAGUUGGAAACGACUGCUAAUACCGCCUACUGACGGGGGGGAUUGCGUCUGAUUAGCUCGUUGGAGGGGUAACGGCCCACCAAGGCGAUGGUAAGUAGCCGGUCUGAGAGGAUGAACGGCCACAGUGGGACGGGGACACGGCCCAGACUACUACGGGAGGCAGCAGUGGGGAAUCGUCCGCAAUGGACGAAAGUCGGACGGAGCAAAGCCGCGUGAGUGAUGACGGCCUUCGGGUUGUAAAGCUCUGUUAAUCGGGACGCGGUACCGGAAUAGAAAGCCACGGCUAACUCCGUGCCAGCAGCCGCGGUAAUUC
This 408-nucleotide ribosomal RNA is filed under the name uncultured bacterium. RNAcentral describes it as "partial 16S ribosomal RNA". It matches the Rfam family "Bacterial small subunit ribosomal RNA", at positions 28 to 526 of the family's 1533-position model. The record is from RNAcentral.